Oncorhynchus kisutch (coho salmon) is the source of this 452-nucleotide long non-coding RNA. RefSeq lists it as uncharacterized. The record is from RefSeq and is a predicted model, not a curated record. The transcript is spliced from 3 exons. Lineage: Eukaryota; Metazoa; Chordata; Actinopteri; Salmoniformes; Salmonidae.
GUCGGGACGAUGCUCUAGGGUAAUUCCCACAUUUGGGGUUCUUAUCUGCCGAGCUGGUCUGGAAUUCCACUGAAGUAGUUCAUAUUUAUUAAACUUGUACACCAUGUCAGGUAGAGAAAGAGAAUCAGAAUAACAGAAGGAAUCAAAGACUGGUUGGUAAAGUAGGGGUAUAGCUUUAAAACACCGAAGUGCAUUAUGGGUAACAUAGGUCCUGUUCCGCUUUCACAGGGCAGUAUUUCAAUGAGAAUAACCAAGAGGUGAUUAAAACCACCUGGAACCUGCGGUCGUCAGAGCCAUCUCUCGGUCAAGACUGGGAGGGCACAAGAGUUGGAACUGAUAUAUUCCGUAGGGUUGCUAAAUAAGGAACAAAAGAAGAGGGACAAAAGAAGAAAUUCAUGAAAUGUGACAGCACUGAAUUAAAUCAUUAAGGAAAUAAACAUAUUUUAACUGAA